UUAUUAUUUAGAGCUUCUGUUCAGAUCAUUGACGUUUGCAUAUCCCCUGUUUGUAGUAUCAUUUUGUGUCUCAUGUUAUAACUACCAUUUUUUCCCUCUACAACCUGUAAAUUUCGAAUUUAGUUUACUGAUCUAUGAAAGUCAUGUAUAACUUGGCAGAAAUGUUAUCCCUACAAAUAAGAACACCCUUAUUCUUUAUUGUGCAGCAACCAUGUUGACAAGCUGGCAUCUCUUUGUUCUAUUCUAUUGACUUCUUGUGGCAUUAUGUAUGAAGCCCUUUAAGCACAAACCUUUCGACGCAAGGACUGUCAUGGGAUUUGGAGUGCUCAAUGGCAUCUUAAUUGGACUUCUCAACCAGAGUCUAGGUUUCAACUCUGUUGGUUUCUAUCAGAGCAAGUCGAGCGCAUUAGUUGGAUCCAGCUUCUUGAUAUUGCAGAGGACUCGUCAAAAGAUAUACAGGGUUCUCGGCUGGCUGCGAAGAUUUGACAAGAGGCACAAGUAAAAUAGAUCAUCUCUUGUGACUCUCAAGAUAUGUAUCCAGAGGGCAAGUCAGGUCUCGAAAUGCUGACUGAAUAUUCCAUGGCCUUUGUUUUUCUUGCUAGGUGGAUUACUACUUCCUUGGAUAUUUUCAGAAAAUAAGUGAAAUGUGCAGACCGACAACAUGGACGGCAGGUCUUGCGGCUCCCAGCGCCCUCAACCCCCCAUUGACCCUCUCUCAAUUGUGAUCUCUCCUCUACUCUUCUAGGUGGCGAUGAGAGCGGGUGUGAAACGGGAGAGGCGGCCAUAGGAGGUGUAUGAUAGGAAAAGAAUUUCUCUAUGGCAGUGCUUUGACUCGGUGACCAGAGACUGACUGGGUGUGCUUGCAGUUUGAGGUUGAUUUUUUCUGGUAUACAUAUAAUUGGAGGUAGGCGCCAUGGACACCGCUCUUGUGCUCAUCAAGGUCCACUACUCCUUGUUCCAGUCCCAUGACAAGCAGCAGCAACAGCAGCAUCAUGGUUGGGUUGGAGCUACAGCGGCCAGCCACCGGGACGACGCUGACAGCCAAAGGAAGCUCCUUCCCCACCGCUGACAGCCAAAACCGCUCUUGUGCUCAUCAAGUUAAUGUAUAGGACUGCGCUUUUGUGUGUCCUUUCCUUCAAGCUGUCAUUCAAGAGAAGAGAGGGGAGAGGCCUCGAUCCAGACUCAGGAGGAGGAGACGAGGAGCAACACCUAUUUUUAUUGUUUGUCAAGCCCCUACUUUGCGGUUCCAGCCACCUGAUCACUAACCUGAAUGAGUAAGUAGACCAUUAUAUAUGAUGGUCUUGCUUCCUUUUGUGAUCAUGUAUCUAUGUUAGAUCCGGUGAAAAAAAGCGGCUUCCAAGCAGAGGAUGCGGCAGUGUUGGCCACGUUUGGUUUUCAUAAGCUAAUAAUGUAUCCCUUCCUAUCUACUUCCUUUGUGUAUCACAUUGUAACUAAGCAUCUAUGUACCAGCAGCAAAGACUUGGGUGUCUGAAUAUUCUCACAAUAGUUGGCUCCCUCUCGCCUUUU
Triticum aestivum (bread wheat) is the source of this 1527-nucleotide RNA transcript. It is a transcript of the gene named UDP-xylose transporter 3-like, with no coding region annotated. The record is from RefSeq and is a predicted model, not a curated record. Lineage: Eukaryota; Viridiplantae; Streptophyta; Magnoliopsida; Poales; Poaceae. The transcript is spliced from 8 exons.